CCUACGGGUGGCAGCAGUGAGGAAUAUUGGUCAAUGGGCGAGAGCCUGAACCAGCAAAGCCGCGUGAAGGAUGAAGGAUCUAUGGUUUGUAAACUUCUUUUAUAUGGGAGUAAAGUGCGGUACGUGUUCCUUUUUGUAUGUACCAUAUGAAUAAGCAUCGGCUAACUCCGUGCCAGCAGCCGCGGUAAUACGGAGGAUGCGAGCGUUAUCCGGAUUUAUUGGGUUUAAAGGGUGCGUAGGUGGUUAAUUAAGUCAGCGGUGAAAGUUUGUGGCUCAACCAUAAAAUUGCCGUUGAAACUGGUUGACUUGAGUGUAUGUGAGGUAGGCGGAAUGCGUGGUGUAGCGGUGAAAUGCGUAGAUAUCACGAAGAACACCGAUUGCGAAGGCAGCUUACUAGACUAUAACUGACGCUGAGGCACGAAAGCGUGGGGAGCAAACAGGAUUAGAUACCCCUGUAGUC
RNAcentral lists this ribosomal RNA (460 nucleotides) under uncultured bacterium. Its description in RNAcentral is "partial 16S ribosomal RNA". It matches the Rfam family "Bacterial small subunit ribosomal RNA", at positions 338 to 795 of the family's 1533-position model. The record is from RNAcentral.